Amborella trichopoda is the source of this 1302-nucleotide long non-coding RNA. RefSeq lists it as uncharacterized. Lineage: Eukaryota; Viridiplantae; Streptophyta; Magnoliopsida; Amborellales; Amborellaceae. The record is from RefSeq and is a predicted model, not a curated record.
AGCUCCCUCUCUCUCUCUCACUCGCCAUUAUUUCACUGGGCAACAACAAAUGCUCUGCGUCCUCUCUCUCUAAAUUUCAGCAGUUCUCCCUCCUCAUUCACUCUAGGAAUUUCGGCCAUACUCCCUCCUCUUGCGUGCUCUGCAAACCACAGAGCUUCAUUGAGAAGCUCCCUCUCUCUUGCUGGCCAUUACUUUCCCAGUCGAUUACAAAUGCUUUGCGUACUCUCUCUCCAAAUUUCAGCCGCUCUACCUGCUCAUUCGCUCUAGUAAGCUCGUUGUAGCUGCUAACUUCUCAAGGAGGCAGCACGCUGACAAAAACCCAACCCAAGACGACUCAAGAUUAGGCUGAUUGGUCUCUUAGGUAUUAUGGAGGAUGGACGGCACCUAAAAUAUAUUUAUUGGGCUUUGCUGGAAAGGUCAAAUUUGGAGACAUUCGUAUUGGGGGACUCUGGGAUAUAUAAGGCACGUGAUUACUAUUCAGAUUCGGGAGAAAAGUCUGGGAAGUAAGCCUGCAGCAGAGUUGCUCGUUGUGUGUUUUUCAUGCCGACUGUGAACCUAUCAGCUAUGUAUGCAUCAACCCAUUAAGUGCGACAACCAUAUAACCACUUGAGCUAACUUUGCUCUUGUAAGGACCACAAUUUUCUCCCAGUCCAGCAACCGCACGACAAUGGAGGGUAAGAAAAAGGCCUAGCGCUGUUUUGAGCAUCACCGCGCAUGUUUAAGAGCCUAGCGCUAGUUGCGUAAGAGGAAAACACAGCGCCAGCUAUGUAAGGGGGAAAAGCAAUACCGACUGCAUAAGAGGAGAACACAACGCCAGCAGUGUAAGAGGAAAGCACAGUGCCUGCUGGUAAGAGGAGAGGUAGCGCCAGCUAUGUAAGGAAGACGCAGUGCCGGCUGCGCUUGGGAGCCCAUCGCCGACUGUGACCCAACGCCUUCUGUGGAAUGAGAGCAAGAAAGGGCAGUGUCGGGAGUGUCUUGAUCAAACAUAUGGCCGCCAUCUGUGUCAGUGCCGCUCCGUACGUGUCAGAUCCACGCGUGAUUGCAUCACCCACAGUGAAUCCCACCAACCGUGGGUACUUAAGCCCUCCCCCUUUCCUUUGACGACUCGUUCCCUCAUUCUACCUUAUUCUCUCUCUCCCCCUAAGGAGCUCACUGUCGUCCCUUGAAGACAACCAACGGGUGACGGUGGAGGAGGCCAGAGAAAGCUGCUGAAGGAGAUUGAAGACACCGUGAGAGUCAUGGUGGUGGAUAUUGUUAUGUUACCACUUGCUAUACGAUGGGACACUCAUCGGUAGUAAGGAA